AAGUCGUAACAAGGUAACCGUAGGUGAACCUGCGGUUGGAUCAUUAAAAAAAUCCAAAUAGCCUGUCAGCGGCGCCCGCCGCUGGCUUCAUGGCACCACCUUUUGUGAACCGUUCUGUCUUUGGUGGUGGGGUGAAACGCCCUUCUUCGGGCCUUUGCCUGUCAGCUGUGACUUGAAAAAAAAAAGUCCUCCAGCCGUGGACAAGCCACCGACCAUGUGUUUCAACCUAUGUUUAUUUUUUUCUGUCUCACAUUUUCACUUUGUAUUUUAAUGUACAAACAACUUUUGGCAACGGAUCUCUUGGGUCUC
Molecule: unclassified non-coding RNA, 309 nt
Filed under: Spizellomyces sp.
Lineage: Eukaryota; Fungi; Chytridiomycota; Chytridiomycetes; Spizellomycetales; Spizellomycetaceae
Also listed under: 1 other name
Description: partial internal transcribed spacer region
Rfam family: Eukaryotic small subunit ribosomal RNA (bases 1-46)
Source: RNAcentral